AUGUGCUGCCAGUCUUGUAUGCUCCUCCUGAGACAGUGGUUGGCUUUUAAGGCAAUUAACAGAUUCCAAGAGUUCCUUUUGGAAAGUGGAAGAAGAGAACAAUCCCCUAUUAAAUUCCAAAGUCUGCCACUUCUGAAACUCAUUGCACUACUAGCUGCUCUGAUUAAGUGGCUCCUCAUUUCAGUUGAGGGAAGUACAAAUUGGCACCCUGGGCUCCCACAGUUACCUCUGGGUCUUUCUCAUGGGAAAUGCUUGGGAGCUGAGCACUAAAGGUAAUGAGAAGACCCAAAAGUUUUGGGUUCAUCUCGAAGUGGAUAGAGUAAGACACCAUGUUUGCUGACAGGAACUGCUGAAACAGUGUGUGCGAGCGUGUGUGUGGGCUUAAUAGCUCAGGGCCGAAUCUCAGACUCAUAGCAAUGAUACCUAAAUGAAUUUUUACUUAGCGUAUUGCUAAAAUCUUCUGGGACUGAAUCCACUUACUCUCAAUUAAUAUCGAACUAAACAAUUACAGUUGUAUAUUUAAAACCAUUUUCACUGCAAGGUAAACAUUUCAGGCCUAGAAGAAAGUCCACUGAAAUCAAUCAACCCUUCUGUGCAUUUCAAAAGCAUUCACAUCAUUCCCCUUCUACUACCACCAUGCUCUCAGCUGCCCUGUCUCCAAGAAAACCCUCUGCCCAGAAGGCUGUGCUGCAUUUCAGUUAAACUACCCGUUUCCUAGUGCUCUGCUGAUCAGAAAUGCCUUUCCUCUUCGGGCUGGCCUGCCUUGCAUGUGGCAUCAAAAAACAGACCACAUGCCAAGCGGUAUUUCUCUGGUACCUCAUUUCCCAAAAUGCCACAACCACACCCAGCUCUUUACUCAGAGAGCCGUGUCAGACCAACUCCGUGCAUGCAGAGCUUUCACUAGUAAAUAAUCUCAGGGCGCCAAACGAUGUGUUCAGGAGGGGGUAGUGCUCUUGGAGGCUAUUGGCAGUCAUUCAGAUGACAACCAGCUGCAGAGAGCUUUAAGAACAGUGUUGCACACAUACACAUACACACAAAGAAAAGAAAGAAAGGGAAAAUUGUUGACUGAAGACAUAUUGCCCUUGAUUGAAUAGUGAGGAACCUGCUGUCAAGAAAAUAGAUAUUUGGGAAAUCUAUUUUAAAAAAAAAGGGUUGUCCAUUUUACUGGCUGUGGAUCAGCCUUCAAUUGUCAGCCUUCAAUUUCUGAAGAUAGACA
Molecule: long non-coding RNA, 1216 nt
Filed under: Numida meleagris (helmeted guineafowl)
Lineage: Eukaryota; Metazoa; Chordata; Aves; Galliformes; Numididae
Description: lncRNA (ENSNMEG00000021418.1)
Source: RNAcentral